AACAGAUCAAAUCUGAAGAUUACUUUGUGGGAUCAGUAUGCAAAAGAUUUUGUUAAAGCAGUUUGGGAGAAAAUGGAAACUCCUGUCAUCUUAAUUCUUGCCGGUUGCAGAGUACAGCUUUGGAACAAUGAACCAAUUAUAACACAUGUAGCAGCUACAAAGUACUAUUUCAAUUACAAUCAUCACAGUGUGAAGCAACUUAGGAUGAUGCUUUCUGAACCUGAAUUUGCAAAAGCAGUCCGAUCCACAAACCCAACAAGGAUAGCAGAA
Daucus carota subsp. sativus is the source of this 270-nucleotide long non-coding RNA. RefSeq lists it as uncharacterized. The transcript has 3 exons. Lineage: Eukaryota; Viridiplantae; Streptophyta; Magnoliopsida; Apiales; Apiaceae. The record is from RefSeq and is a predicted model, not a curated record.